UUCACCAGGAACUACUCAAAGGCUUCAUAUCAAGCGAAAGGCCGUAUUUUUCUGACGCAGAAAUAACGCAACCAGCGACCUGGAUCAAUCUCAUUACCAGUGUUCCUGCAAACUGAUGGCUGAGAGAGCAGGAAGGAGAGUGCCUUUGAAUACAACAGCUGUGCCCUCCUCAGACAAAGAUCUCAUUAAGGCCUGCUGCUGCCACCGCUGCUGUUUUCACUCCAUAAUGGAGCUCUUCCACCAGCAUCAUUGUUUCAUUUGUUCUGGGACUUCUCGUAAAACCACCCCAAAGCCCCACAAAACGCUGACGCGGCCAAUCGACCUGGGUGGCCGACGGCAAAACGCUGAGUCAGCCUGGACUGCACCAUCCUCCCCAGCAGAGAUGCUCGGAGUUGAGCCUCAUCUAUAAUGAAACGUUCCCUCAGCCGAGAACCACAGCCGGGGCUCAUAGUGAAGCCUCUAAAGAGUAUCUCAUCGCCUCUGCAGUAUUCAGGCUCCAGAAAACCUGUGGCAUGGCUAAGCUUCGCCAUCAGUCCGAUGUCAAUGAAGGCCCCAGCGAGAGACAGAUGGUGUGAUGCCAUAUAUCAGAGCAGCAAUCUGCACUCCCAUCAAACAUUUACACAUUUCACCUCCCUUUCUGCAGAGAACACACAGACAUUUAAUGUGCAACGUUUUGUGGGGACUUUACAUAGACAAUGACUUUUGUUCUGACCAAACUGUAACUCGUCCUCUCAUGAAACCUUUUUGCAUUUAUAAAUAAGCAUUAUUUAAUAUGUUUAAUAAAAAUGUGUAUGUUAAAUAACAAUAAUUGAUUGGUGGAUACAUUACGGGAACACAAUGAUAGAUUAACCUCUACACAUACUGUACACACAUAUGCUGGCACUACCCUUGUAAAGUGCACUGUUUAUUCCAGUCCUGUUCUCUCUAAGCUCUGAGGAUUC
Triplophysa dalaica is the source of this 941-nucleotide long non-coding RNA. RefSeq lists it as uncharacterized. The transcript is spliced from 4 exons. The record is from RefSeq and is a predicted model, not a curated record. Lineage: Eukaryota; Metazoa; Chordata; Actinopteri; Cypriniformes; Nemacheilidae.